Molecule: long non-coding RNA, 254 nt
Organism: Cynoglossus semilaevis (tongue sole)
Lineage: Eukaryota; Metazoa; Chordata; Actinopteri; Pleuronectiformes; Cynoglossidae
Exons: 3
Source: RefSeq, a predicted model, not a curated record
GCAGCAGCGGUUUAAACAGAACACAAAGGAAGAAGAGAAGUAAACAGGAAGUGGGAGUUUCUCUCGGUCUUUAACCUUUUAUCGUUCUACUUCUCGCUGUGUUUUGCUUUAUUUCCUCGUUAAUCCACUGGUUUUAACCAGUAUUUGUGGAUCCAGUUAUGUCGAGCUCGGAGGGAAUGACGAACGCCCAGUUAUUACAACAGGUGGCGCUUUUGCGCUGGCUGUCAUCACAGAGCGACGAGGACCGCGGGUUG